RNAcentral lists this small RNA (104 nucleotides) under Clostridium colicanis 209318. RNAcentral's name for it is "Guanidine-I riboswitch aptamer". It matches the Rfam family "Guanidine-I riboswitch aptamer". From Rfam's summary of the family: This family represents a conserved RNA structure found upstream of the ykkC and yxkD genes in Bacillus subtilis and related genes in other bacteria. The function of this family is unclear although it has been suggested that it may function to switch on efflux pumps and detoxification systems in response to harmful environmental molecules. Nelson showed that this riboswitch senses and responds to guanidine and it was renamed Guanidine-I riboswitch. The record is from Rfam by way of RNAcentral. Lineage: Bacteria; Bacillati; Bacillota; Clostridia; Eubacteriales; Clostridiaceae.
AUUAAACUAUUCUAGGGUUCCGUAAUAAGUUAUUUAUUAGACUGGUCCGAGAGAAUAGGCACAUUUAAUUAAUGUGUACACGGAAGGAGAAAAGCCUGGGAGAU